This 370-nucleotide unclassified non-coding RNA is filed under the name uncultured Orbiliaceae. RNAcentral's name for it is "sequence contains ITS2". The stretch from base 1 to 154 matches the Rfam family "5.8S ribosomal RNA". The record is from RNAcentral. Lineage: Eukaryota; Fungi; Ascomycota; Orbiliomycetes; Orbiliales.
AACUUUUAGCAACGGAUCUCUUGGUUCCCGCAUCGAUGAGGAACGCAGCGAAACGCGAUAGCUAAUGUGAAUUGCAGAAUUCAGUGAAUCAUCGAGUCUUUGAACGCACAUUGCGCCCAUUGGUAUUCCAAUGGGCAUGUCUGUUUGAGCGUCAUUACAACCCCUCAGCUCACGCUGGUGUUGAGCAGGCUGUUUCCAACGGCCUGCUUCAAAGUGAUGUGCUCUGCUGACCACGCUCCGGCUAGCUCAUAGUAAGUUUUACUUGUGCUUCAGUUGCGAAGGUUCGGCCUGAACAAAACCAAACCUAAGGUUUGACCUCAGAUCAGAUAAGGAUACCCGCUGAACUUAAGCAUAUCAAUAAGCGGAGGCU